This 253-nucleotide ribosomal RNA is filed under the name uncultured bacterium. RNAcentral describes it as "partial 16S ribosomal RNA". It matches the Rfam family "Bacterial small subunit ribosomal RNA", at positions 524 to 776 of the family's 1533-position model. The record is from RNAcentral.
UACGAAGGGUGCAAGCGUUAUUCGGAAUUACUGGGCGUAAAGCGUGCGUAGGCGGUUUGUUAAGUCCGUUGUGAAAGCCCUGGGCUCAACCUGGGAAUUGCAGUGGAUACUGGCGGGCUAGAGUGCGGUAGAGGAAGGUGGAAUUCCCGGUGUAGCGGUGAAAUGCGUAGAGAUCGGGAGGAACACCCGUGGCGAAGGCGGCUAUCUGGACCGGCACUGACGCUGAGGCACGAAAGCGUGGGGAGCAAACAGG